Diceros bicornis minor is the source of this 956-nucleotide long non-coding RNA. RefSeq lists it as uncharacterized. NCBI's taxonomy places the organism in Eukaryota, Metazoa, Chordata, Mammalia, Perissodactyla, Rhinocerotidae. The transcript has 3 exons. The record is from RefSeq and is a predicted model, not a curated record.
UCAUCUGCUCAACCCCACUCACUGAUGUGAAACUACCAAAUUGCAAACACUCCUGUACGGAACCUGGGCGACCCGUUUUGGAUUCCGUCCUUCUAAGAGAGAAGAUUUACAUAGGGACCUUGUUGAAAAUCUUCAGAGAGUGGACUUCCCUGGUGAAGUGACCCCCUAAGAGCACACAGCAAAUUCUUGUUGAAGAAAGCAGAGUUUUGGCCAAUCCAGUUUAAUUUUCAGACCCAGUCAGAGACCCUCAGAGAGCCCAGGAAAACUGUUUCCUCCCGUUUGUAAUUCUUAGCUGAAUAAAGUUUGAGGACCUCCGAUUGAAUGGAAGGCAGAUGGGACCAGAAAAAUAAAAUGAAUAAAAAUGUUACAAGGAGCAGGCACAUAAAAGCACCCACGUGCAAACACACAGCAACGUCAGAUCGACACAAAUGACGUGAGAGACAUGUUGUUUGCAUGCCUUUUGAAAGCGGUGUUCUCUAUAUGUAAAAAUAUUGAAUUGCAACAUAGCUCCCAGAGGGAAAAUUGGAUGAAGGAGUUCGGGGCAUGUGACCCUCCAAAAUGUGUUGCUUUGGCGUGUUGAUUAUUUUGAGCUGGAGACACUUGAAAACCUGCAGAUACAGAGAAGUCUGCUCUGAAUUAUCUGACUAACGUUCCCCCAGAAGGAACCCAGUUCUCAGCAUUCCCCUCCCGGGAAUGUCAUCGACCUGGAAGAUUGAAUCUUGUCAGAGAAGAGGAGGCAAGAGGUCGACCCCACACCAGACAGACCUUGUCACAAACUGUCACACCUCCCAUCUGUUCUUCUAAGGGUCCAGCCAUCUUUCCUAAAAUCAUUGACUCUCUCCUGUGGGGCCCACAUCCCCCUCCCGCUCCCCUAUUAAGACAAUAGAUAAGCUCUCAAAACUCACUGCUUUUUGGGUGUCCACAUUUUUUUCUGUGACACCCCCAUGCACAUAAUA